Molecule: long non-coding RNA, 1069 nt
Organism: Gopherus flavomarginatus (Mexican gopher tortoise)
Lineage: Eukaryota; Metazoa; Chordata; Testudines; Testudinidae
Exons: 2
Source: RefSeq, a predicted model, not a curated record
GUGCCGUGGGGCAUAGGGGGACCAUUGCUGCACACAGGCAAGCUGCAUAGGGGCCAGGGCGGAAUCCACAUUGCUGGAGAAGACCCUCUCGCUCUUCCCAGGUGACCCGCAGCAGCGAGAUAUCUGGCAGGAUAAAAUCCUGUGGAAAAGGUAGGGAUAGUGUUCAGUGCAGGUCCGCCCCCCCGCCCAGCUCUCUGAUUUCCCCAAUGCACAGAAACCCCAGUGCAGCCCUGACCCAAGCAGUUGCCCUUCCCAAGUGAGCCGCGGCAACGAGAUGGUUUCAUUAAUCACUCAUUCCCCAUUACUCACCAUGUCUUCGCUGCUGUGGCCUCUCUGUGCUAUGUUUGCUAUGUGUAAAGGAUGCUACAAAUGGGACUAAAAACUCCUUAACUGUGAUUAUAAACAAUGCAGCCUCUGUAAUAAAUGUUUCUAUUUCUGUUUUUUUUCUAAGUGUCCUUGAAUAGUACCAGUAAUCCCCCAUCCCUAUCACAGACAGCUGAAAAGCUACAGAACCUGAGGAGGAAACCAAGAAAAAGCAAAGAAGAUUUGCUGAAAGCAGUUAUGAAUCAGUCUGCCAGAGAGAGUAAGAGGCUGCAGAACUGGAGAGUAAAAAUUCAGCAGUGGAGGGAAACAGAAAGCAGGAGAAAGGAAUUGGCUAAGAAGAAAAGCACAAAGCAGCUGAUAAGCCUCCUGGCGCACCAAACGGAGUGUAUGCAGUCACUCAUAGCCAUGCAGGCAGAGCACUGCCGUGCUGCCCCCCCCCCAUCCCAAAGCUCUCUCCCUUGUGCCCCAAUGUCAGCUCAAAACCCCCUUCUCCAGCAUCCAGAUUCUUACCACCACCAGUUGCCCCCAACACCUGUACGUUCACCUACCAGCCCUGAGAACUACGACCCUUACCCUCUGCAAUCAACCCCCAUAACCAUGCAGCAUUUUCAUCCUGAAGUGCAGCAGGUAUUGCACAGCACUCCAGGCAGGACAUAUUCAAACCUGUGACUGUACAGUUCACCACCCUACCCCCCUGUCCUUUUACUUACUGUCUUUUCAAUAAAUGAUUUCUUGGCUUUUAAAA